This 491-nucleotide ribosomal RNA is filed under the name uncultured bacterium. RNAcentral's name for it is "partial 16S ribosomal RNA". It matches the Rfam family "Bacterial small subunit ribosomal RNA", at positions 28 to 507 of the family's 1533-position model. The record is from RNAcentral.
GAUGAACGCUGGCUACAGGCUUAACACAUGCAAGUCGAGGGGAAACGACGGGGAAGCUUGCUUCCCCGGGCGUCGACCGGCGCACGGGUGAGUAACGCGUAUCCAACCUGCCUCUGACUGAGGGAUAACCCGUCGAAAGUCGGCCUAAUACCUCAUGGUAUCGUCUGCGGGCAUUCAACGACGAUUAAAGAUUUCAUCGGUCAGGGAUGGGGAUGCGUCUGAUUAGCUUGUUGGCGGGGUAACGGCCCACCAAGGCUACGAUCAGUAGGGGUUCUGAGAGGAAGGUCCCCCACAUUGGAACUGAGACACGGUCCAAACUCCUACGGGAGGCAGCAGUGAGGAAUAUUGGUCAAUGGGCGAGAGCCUGAACCAGCCAAGUAGCGUGCAGGAAGACGGCCCUAUGGGUUGUAAACUGCUUUUAUGCGGGGAUAAAGUGAGGGACGUGUCCCUCAUUGCAGGUACCGCAUGAAUAAGGACCGGCUAAUUCCGUG